RNAcentral lists this ribosomal RNA (252 nucleotides) under uncultured bacterium. Its description in RNAcentral is "partial 16S ribosomal RNA". It matches the Rfam family "Bacterial small subunit ribosomal RNA", at positions 524 to 776 of the family's 1533-position model. The record is from RNAcentral.
UACGGAGGAUGCGAGCGUUAUCCGGGUUUAUUGGGUUUAAAGGGUGCGUAGGCGGGUUAUCAAGUCAGCGGUAAAAUCGUGGAGCUCAACUCCAUCCAGCCGUUGAAACUGAUGAUCUUGAGUGGGCGAGAAGUAUGCGGAAUGCGUGGUGUAGCGGUGAAAUGCAUAGAUAUCACGCAGAACUCCGAUUGCGAAGGCAGCAUACCGGCGCCCGACUGACGCUGAAGCACGAAAGCGUGGGUAUCGAACAGG